UUGCCACGCCCGCUCAAGAACUACGAAAGGAAUUCGACGGGGGCCCGCACAAGCGGUGGAGUAUGUGGUUUAAUUCGAUGCAACGCGAAGAACCUUACCUGGUCUUGACAUCCCGGAGACCCUUAGGAAACUAGGGGGUGCUUCCAUCUGGAAGAAUCUGGAGACAGGUGCUGCAUGGCUGUCGUCAGCUCGUGUCGUGAGAUGUUGGGUUAAGUCCCGCAACGAGCGCAACCCUUGCCUUUAGUUGCCAGCAGUUCGGCUGGGCACUCUAAAGGGACUGCCGGUGUUAAACCGGAGGAAGGUGGGGAUGACGUCAAGUCCUCAUGGCCUUUAUGACCAGGGCUACACACGUACUACAAUGGCCGAUACAAAGGGCAGCGACACUGCGAGGUGAAGCCAAUCCCGUAAAAUCGGUCUCAGUCCGGAUUGGAGUCUGCAACUCGACUCCAUGAAGUUGGAAUCGCUAGUAAUCGCGGAUCAGCCAAGCCGCGGUGAAUACGUUCCCGGGCCUU
Molecule: ribosomal RNA, 512 nt
Filed under: uncultured Desulfobulbus sp.
Lineage: Bacteria; Pseudomonadati; Thermodesulfobacteriota; Desulfobulbia; Desulfobulbales; Desulfobulbaceae
Description: bacterial SSU rRNA
Rfam family: Bacterial small subunit ribosomal RNA
Source: RNAcentral